This 309-nucleotide ribosomal RNA is filed under the name uncultured bacterium. RNAcentral's name for it is "partial 16S ribosomal RNA". It matches the Rfam family "Bacterial small subunit ribosomal RNA", at positions 504 to 807 of the family's 1533-position model. The record is from RNAcentral.
AGAGACAGCAGUAGCCACGGUAAUACGUAGGUGGCAAGCGUUGUCCGGAAUUAUUGGGCGUAAAGGGCUCGCAGGCGGUUUCUUAAGUCUGAUGUGAAAGCCCCCGGCUCAACCGGGGAGGGUCAUUGGAAACUGGGAAACUUGAGUGCAGAAGAGGAGAGUGGAAUUCCACGUGUAGCGGUGAAAUGCGUAGAGAUGUGGAGGAACACCAGUGGCGAAGGCGACUCUCUGGUCUGUAACUGACGCUGAGGAGCGAAAGCGUGGGGAGCGAACAGGAUUAGAUACCCCAGUAGUCCCUGUCUCUUAUAC